GAUGAACGCUGGCGGCGUGCCUAAUACAUGCAAGUCGAGCGAACAGAUAAGGAGCUUGCUCCUUUGAAGUUAGCGGCGGACGGGUGAGUAACACGUGGGUAACCUACCUAUAAGACUGGGAUAACUUCGGGAAACCGGAGCUAAUACCGGAUAACAUUUAGAACCGCGUGGUUCUAAAGUGAAAGAUGGUUUUGCUAUCACUUAUAGAUGGACCCGCGCCGUAUUAGCUAGUUGGUAAGGUAACGGCUUACCAAGGCGACGAUACGUAGCCGACCUGAGAGGGUGAUCGGCCACACUGGAACUGAGACACGGUCCAGACUCCUACGGGAGGCAGCAGUAGGGAAUCUUCCGCAAUGGGCGAAAGCCUGACGGAGCAACGCCGCGUGAGUGAUGAAGGGUUUCGGCUCGUAAAACUCUGUUAUUAGGGAAGAACAAAUGUGUAAGUAACUGUGCACAUCUUGACGGUACCUAAUCAGAAAGCCACGGCUAACUACGUGCCAGCAGCCGCGGUAAUACGUAGGUGGCAAGCGUUAUCCGGAAUUAUUGGGCGUAAAGCGCGCGUAGGCGGUUUCUUAAAUCUGAUGUGAAAGCCCACGGCUCAACCGUGGAGGGUCAUUGGAAACUGGGAAACUUGAGUGCAGAAGAGGAAAGUGGAAUUCCAUGUGUAGCGGUGAAAUGCGCAGAGAUAUGGAGGAACACCAGUGGCGAAGGCGACUUUCUGGUCUGUAACUGACGCUGAUGUGCGAAAGCGUGGGGAUCAAACAGGAUUAGAUACCCUGGUAGUCCACGCCGUAAACGAUGAGUGCUAAGUGUUAGGGGGUUUCCGCCCCUUAGUGCUGCAGCUAACGCAUUAAGCACUCCGCCUGGGGAGUACGACCGCAAGGUUGAAACUCAAAGGAAUUGACGGGGACCCGCACAAGCGGUGGAGCAUGUGGUUUAAUUCGAAGCAACGCGAAGAACCUUACCAAAUCUUGACAUCCUUUGAAAACUCUAGAGAUAGAGCCUUCCCCUUCGGGGGACAAAGUGACAGGUGGUGCAUGGUUGUCGUCAGCUCGUGUCGUGAGAUGUUGGGUUAAGUCCCGCAACGAGCGCAACCCUUAAGCUUAGUUGCCAUCAUUAAGUUGGGCACUCUAGGUUGACUGCCGGUGACAAACCGGAGGAAGGUGGGGAUGACGUCAAAUCAUCAUGCCCCUUAUGAUUUGGGCUACACACGUGCUACAAUGGACAAUACAAAGGGCAGCUAAACCGCGAGGUCAUGCAAAUCCCAUAAAGUUGUUCUCAGUUCGGAUUGUAGUCUGCAACUCGACUACAUGAAGCUGGAAUCGCUAGUAAUCGUAGAUCAGCAUGCUACGGUGAAUACGUUCCCGGGUCU
RNAcentral lists this ribosomal RNA (1372 nucleotides) under uncultured bacterium. RNAcentral describes it as "bacterial SSU rRNA". It matches the Rfam family "Bacterial small subunit ribosomal RNA", at positions 28 to 1381 of the family's 1533-position model. The record is from RNAcentral.